UGAUUUAGUAGCUUAAGUACUGAGGAAGAAAGUAAGUAGCUUUCGAAAUACGUAUUUACUAACUAUUAAAAUAUAUUGUAGUAGGAGCAAGCUACCUAGUUUUAUUUUUAUUUAGAGAUAGUUGUUAAUCGAUUCAAAACUCAAAUUAUCCUAAAGGGGUCUAAAGAGACUGAAAUGGAAUAUCCAUUUAGGAAUAGAAGGAUAUUGGCGGAUAAAUCGGAUCUAAAGAAUGGUAACGUCAACGCUAUAUUAAGGCGAUACAAUAGUAAAGGGAAAAUAGCCAUUGACUCGUAUCUCAACGAUCAUGAAUACAACAAACUACAGCAAAUCAUAUGUAAUUAAUCUAUUUAGAGAUAUCAAGAUAACAAGAUAACAAAAUUUGUCAAAUGUACAUUUUCAGAGGAACUGAAUAUACAAAUUUCCAUAUUCCACAAGAAUGAGACAGGUCAAAUUUUACCACCCAAAGCUGAAAGGAGCCGUACAUCAAAUUAUUAAUAAUUGUGAUAUCUGUGCAGGAGCCAAGCACGACAGAAAUCCCAUGAUUAAGAAACACCCUCAACAGUUAACGAAAUUGUGCACAUCGCCCUCUACUUCAUACAUUUGUCAAUUUCAUUGACCGAUUUUCUAAGCAUGUAAUUACCUUCUACUUAGAAGAUAGAAAUAGCAUAACACUUCCAGAAAGAAUAAAACAAUAUUUACCUAUUAAAGGCAAAAUCAAACAAAUUGUUUUUGGUAAUGAAUUUAUUGCAAUCAAUAUAAAGAACUUUCUGAAAGAAGAAUAUAUUAAAAUUUCACAAAACCUAAUAGCCAUGCUGGAAACACCGAUAUUGAGUGUUUCCAUGGGACAAUUGGUGAACGUAUAAGGGUCCUAAACCUGGAAGAAAGAUUACCCAUACGUAUCCAGACGCUGUAAAAUACGAUAAUUGUACAUAGCAUUUGACACUAAAAUCUACCCCUCUAGGAGUCCAAGAGCAUUAAAUUAUAUACCAAAAGAUUAGAAAACUAAAGCAAGGAGUAAUAAAUGAAAUAAACAAAGAAAGAGAAGACUAUACAGAAACUAGAGAGAAGGUUUCAUAAAAAAUUACAAAUUUCUUAGACAUAAGGAAGAACCAAAGUUUAUAAGAAAUAAACUUCAGAAUGUAAUAUUAAGAGACCUUUAAGGUUUAACAACCAUUCGAAGGAACAUAACGCCAACAGGGAAAUAAGCUCAGAAGAGGACGAAUUUCCACAUAUAAAUCCAAAGUAAAUCUUAUACAAAAGACGAUUUACGAAAGCUCACAAGAUGAGAUUUUAAUCGUAGUGAAAAUGAAAGAGCUGAACACUUCAAGAAAGUGUAUAUAAUGGCAAUAUUUUUCGUAGAAGGACUUUUACAGUCCGGUUAUGAAGCUGUUAAGAGAUGGAUCCGAAAAGUUAGUAUCUUUUCCUUCGAUGUUAUACUGAUCCCGCACCAUGUUGAUCAAUCUUAUUAGUGUCUGGCUACUAUCAACUUUAAAGAAAAAACAACUACAACUCUGUGGGGUACCAAAAUACAAGCCUACUCCCAGGGUUAGCUGAUUAUUAAAAUUUCGAAUCGUUAGCUAAACGAAAAACCUCUUUCGACACAUCAGAGUUCAUCAAAGAAAACGUCCAAGGGAUCCCACCACAAACAAGUGUAAUCUCUUUUGUUGUAUAUAUGCAGAACACAUAAUCCAAAAUCAUAAAACAGUUUUCUCUCAAAAGAAUAUACCCUAUUUCCGACAAAGAAUCAUUUUAGUUAUAGUACAAGGGAAAAUAAUUUCACCCAAUAAUGAAUCCCAACUUUCAGGUACUAAUUGCGACAGGGAUUCACAUAUUACUGUUUCCACACACACUAUAAAUUAGCGACGAAUUCAAUAUAACCGUUAACCUUCUUAAAAACGCAAUGGAAUCAGAUCGUGAAAGGAUCUUAGUAAAAUAUAAUCAAAUACACAGAUUAGAAGAAAGUCAUUCAUUUCAAAACUUAUUCCUUGACCUAACGAUCCGGUUAGAUGUGAUAAAAAGACGAGUUGAAAACAUUCAGGAUAAUAUUGUAUAUAUUUGAUCUCAGUAUAUUUAUCGAUGGAGAGAUUAAAACUUAUGAUAUGACAAACUUGGUAAUAUAAAAUAAGCAAAUAAGAAGCUCAUAUUCACUAUUGCAAAUUCACAGAGCAAACAAACAGAUCAAUAAUUGGAAUAUAUUGUUGAAAUUCAGAAUAAAGUAUAUUCGUACUAACAGGGAAAGUCACUUAAGGAACUUCCAUUAAGCAGAGACUAUAUUUGGAAAUUUUUUUAGAUAAUUUAGUCCUAAGAUCAUCAUCUUCAAAGGGUUUACAUCGUUUUUAUAAAAAUCUAUAGUUGUGUAAUUAAAGUUAGUCAUCAAUAGUGAAGCGUUGUUUUCUUUCAUUUUAUUGUUUUAUAUGUUAAAUAACUUCAACAUAAAACUCGUGCGAGUUACGAAUAGCGGGCUUGCGCUAUUCAAAACGAUAAAUUUUAAAAGUCUCUUCCGCGAGACUUAUUAUUCGAAACGCCACUUUUAUGAAUUUAAAAGCACUUUAUUAUAAACUUCGAAUAACACUGGUAUUCUACUUAAUACUAUAUCCCGGAACUAAGUAUUACUAUAAGAACUGAAUUACAAUAACCCGACUCGACUUCAAUAUAAUGAGAACUGAGAACUAAGUCUGUCCAAUGUUGGGAUGAGUUCUAUAUUUAUAGGGUUCCGGACAAAGGAUGCAAAAUGCUGAUAGUGCAUUUUGCAUAUUUUGUAAUACGAUAUUUUAAUUACGCGAUAAUCUUCAUUUGAUCUAGUUUGUUUAUAGAUCGAAUGAAUUCAUCCAUUGUUUGAAAUGAUGAAAUAGUGAUGACUCAUCGUAUUGAAGAUACGAAUUGGAUAUUGGACAAGAUAAGAUGAUGAGUCAUAUGAUAUUGAAUAGAUCGAUGUUUACAUUAUUUAAGGGAUGUUUACAUAUGAACUUAGGUUAGUGUUUACAUUGGUUAAGGAUGUUUAUAUAUGUACUUAUAUUACUGAUGAUAUGGACUGAUGUCAUCAUCUGGAUUAUUGGUGAAGGUGACCUUGGGGUUAGGUACAAGUGUACUUGGUGUACUUAUGUUAAUGGGUGUAAGGUCCUGUAUAACUCCUCCCACCUUAAGUAUAUUGUUGUCCUCAACAAUUUUUAUUUUAUUUAGUUCUAUUUCUGGUUCUAUUUGUUUAUUAUUUAUGAAUUUUAUUUUUAUAUUAUUUCUUUUGUAAAAACGAAUUGCAAUGUAUGAUAUGAUUACUAUGACAAUGAUUAUUAUAAUUGAUCCAAAUGUUA
This is a long non-coding RNA of Hermetia illucens (black soldier fly), 3308 nucleotides long. RefSeq lists it as uncharacterized. NCBI's taxonomy places the organism in Eukaryota, Metazoa, Arthropoda, Insecta, Diptera, Stratiomyidae. The record is from RefSeq and is a predicted model, not a curated record. The transcript is spliced from 2 exons.